UUGUCUCUCUCUGGGGGGGGGGGUCGGUCACUUUCAAAACGCCGUCUAUGUUAGGUUGGGUUGGGUUUUGCCGAUCGAUUGUAAUGGCUUUCUUAUUUUUGUCAAAAAAAAAGCUCACGCACGAGGCACGAUUGUGCUCCUGGACGAGCAGACAAGUCAAGAUCAUCAUCAAACCAAAGAACCCCCCAUCAUCAAGGUCAUUUCUUCUCUCUCUCUCUCUCGCUCGAUUAAUUUUCCGGACGAUGAUUAGUGCCCUUUGAUUUGAUCUGCAUUGUCGUCUGCAUAUAUUGACUUUGCCCUCAUAGAGGGCGGGGGCGGGUAUGUAUAGCUGAUCCAAACAGUGAGGUAUCAUGAUGUUGCCUCAAAGCGUCUAUCUACAUGCGCUCCUUGUUGCGUGUUGUUGUGUUCUCCUCCUUCUUCUUGCCGAUGCACUAAGAACCCACCCUUCUGAAGGUGG
This is a non-coding RNA of Camelina sativa (false flax), 457 nucleotides long. NCBI's taxonomy places the organism in Eukaryota, Viridiplantae, Streptophyta, Magnoliopsida, Brassicales, Brassicaceae. The record is from RefSeq and is a predicted model, not a curated record.